Ornithorhynchus anatinus (platypus) is the source of this 561-nucleotide long non-coding RNA. RefSeq lists it as uncharacterized. Lineage: Eukaryota; Metazoa; Chordata; Mammalia; Monotremata; Ornithorhynchidae. The record is from RefSeq and is a predicted model, not a curated record. The transcript has 3 exons.
AAAGUUUGCAAAAAAAAAAAUCUGUUUCCUCCAGCAGGAAAGUAUCAUCAGCCUUCCCAGAAGAAUGAGGUGAAGUUCCUGGCAGAGCAAAAGUGGAAUCCCGGCUAGCGAAGGAGUCCCUGCUGGCCCGGCAGCUGUCCCUGCAGCUCCAUAUUGCAAGGGAGAAGCAGGGACAGUAUGUGCACAUUGAGGGGGUCUGGCUUCCUCUGGAAUUCACCAGCCUGCUGACUGCUAUCCCAGGACAGGUUUCAGCACCCCAGCUGAGACCAUCUCUGGCCAGGGAAGAAAACAGUAAGAGAAAUCCUGCUUCAAGGAAGAAUUGGAUAAGGUUGUUACAGGCAGAGGAAGAACGCAUCCUUGGCUACUGAAGAAGUUGUGAGAUGGCUUCCGCAUCAAUGGCCUGGCAGCUGUCCCUGCAGCCCCAUAUUGCAGGGGGGAAGCAGGGGCAGCAGGGUGAGAUGGAGCAGGGAAACUGGUUGUGAGGAGGUAGGACGGAGGGUGUGAAACCCCAGCAGCAUUGCCAUUAUGUGCCCCUUGAUCCUCGGUGGGAGCACCAUUGGA